Molecule: ribosomal RNA, 450 nt
Filed under: uncultured bacterium
Lineage: Bacteria
Description: bacterial SSU rRNA
Rfam family: Bacterial small subunit ribosomal RNA
Source: RNAcentral
GUGGGGAAUUUUGGACAAUGGGCGCAAGCCUGAUCCAGCAAUGCCGCGUGUGUGAAGAAGGCCUUCGGGUUGUAAAGCACUUUUGGCAGGAAAGAAAUAGUGCGUGCUAAUACCAUGCGCGAAUGACGGUACCUGCAGAAUAAGCACCGGCUAACUACGUGCCAGCAGCCGCGGUAAGACGUAGGGUGCAAGCGUUAAUCGGAAUUACUGGGCGUAAAGCGUGCGCAGGCGGUUUUGUAAGACAGGUGUUAAAUCCCCGGGCUCAACCUGGGAACUGCACUUGUGACUGCAAGGCUAGAGUGUGUCAGAGGGAGGUGGAAUUCCGCGUGUAGCAGUGAAAUGCGUAGAGAUGCGGAGGAACACCGAUGGCGAAGGCAGCCUCCUGGGAUAACACUGACGCUCAGGCACGAAAGCGUGGGGAGCAAACAGGAUUAGAAACCCGGGUAGUCC